CAGCAGCCACGGUAAUACGUAGGGUGCAAGCGUUAAUCGGAAUUACUGGGCGUAAAGCGUGCGCAGGCGGUUAUAUAAGACAGAUGUGAAAUCCCCGGGCUCAACCUGGGACCUGCAUUUGUGACUGUAUAGCUAGAGUACGGUAGAUGGGGAUGGAAUUCCGCGUGUAGCAGUGAAAUGCGUAGAUAUGCGGAGGAACACCGAUGGCGAAGGCAAUCCCCUGGACCUGUACUGACGCUCAUGCACGAAAGCGUGGGGAGCAAACAGGAUUAGAUACCCCCGUAGUCCCUGUCUCUUAUAC
RNAcentral lists this ribosomal RNA (301 nucleotides) under uncultured bacterium. RNAcentral describes it as "partial 16S ribosomal RNA". It matches the Rfam family "Bacterial small subunit ribosomal RNA", at positions 509 to 807 of the family's 1533-position model. The record is from RNAcentral.